AGCUUUCGGGCCCAUACCCCGAAUAUGUUGGUUAAACCCCCUCCUUUACUA
RNAcentral lists this transfer RNA (51 nucleotides) under Uperoleia rugosa (wrinkled toadlet). RNAcentral's name for it is "partial tRNA-Met". The record is from RNAcentral. Lineage: Eukaryota; Metazoa; Chordata; Amphibia; Anura; Myobatrachidae.